RNAcentral lists this ribosomal RNA (303 nucleotides) under uncultured bacterium. Its description in RNAcentral is "partial 16S ribosomal RNA". It matches the Rfam family "Bacterial small subunit ribosomal RNA", at positions 507 to 807 of the family's 1533-position model. The record is from RNAcentral.
AGCAGUAGCCACGGUAAUACAGAGGGUGCAAGCGUUAAUCGGAAUUACUGGGCGUAAAGCGCGCGUAGGUGGUUUGUUAAGUUGGAUGUGAAAGCCCCGGGCUCAACCUGGGAACUGCAUCCAAAACUGGCAAGCUAGAGUACGGUAGAGGGUGGUGGAAUUUCCUGUGUAGCGGUGAAAUGCGUAGAUAUAGGAAGGAACACCAGUGGCGAAGGCGACCACCUGGACUGAUACUGACACUGAGGUGCGAAAGCGUGGGGAGCAAACAGGAUUAGAUACCCCCGUAGUCCCUGUCUCUUAUAC